CCACAUUUCCUGAAUGAGAAGGAGAACGUUCCUUCCCUGACCUCUUACGCGUUAUCACUGCGUCAUUUCCUCGUAUGUGCCGCCUCCCCCACAAAAGCCCAGAUCCUCUCUUUUAAACCUUAUAAAAGGAGAUUACCUUCCACAGCCUCUUCAUCCAUCAAGCCUACAACCACCUUCGUCUCAUUCCUUAAGUCGUCCUUACAACCAGGUUUGUGCUUAAUUUAUUGUUUCUCUAAUCACCUUUUCUUAUCUGCCACCACCAUGUCUGAGGAGAACCACCACCACAGCCAACACUCACACCACAAGGAGAAAAAACCCGCCGGAGAAAUGACGAAGCAUGACUAUGAGAAGGAAGUGAAACACCACAAGCACUUGGAGCACUUCGGAAAGUUAGGUGCUGUAGCCGCUGUUGCUGUUGCUCGGCAUGAGAAGCAUAAGGCAAAGAAGGACCCAUAGAAUGCUCAAAGCCACAGGAUGAAAGAGGAGAUUGCAGCAACAGCUGCAGUGGCCAGUGUUGGAUUUGCUAUCCAUGAGCACCAUCAGAAGAAAGAUGCUAAAAAGGAUAAAGAAUAAGCUUUCGGGAAGAAACACCAUCACUUCUGAAAGUCAUUUCUCUAGUUCUCCCCCUCCCCCUAUCUUUUAUUUAUUUAGUUUUUUCCAGUUAGUAUUGUUUCUGUUCAAAGAUUUGAGGAUGAGAUGUAUCAUAGUAUAGUGCUAUAGUUAAUGAAAAUUGAAGCCCAGUACCGCUUCAAUUUGGUUGAUAUGUUUCUCUUUGUGGCCUUACCAAUAAAUUAAACUUUCAUUAUUUUUUUUUA
Macadamia integrifolia is the source of this 815-nucleotide long non-coding RNA. RefSeq lists it as uncharacterized. The record is from RefSeq and is a predicted model, not a curated record. The transcript is spliced from 2 exons. Lineage: Eukaryota; Viridiplantae; Streptophyta; Magnoliopsida; Proteales; Proteaceae.